This 240-nucleotide unclassified non-coding RNA is filed under the name uncultured Dermateaceae. Its description in RNAcentral is "sequence contains ITS2". The stretch from base 1 to 52 matches the Rfam family "5.8S ribosomal RNA", at positions 103 to 154 of the family's 154-position model. Lineage: Eukaryota; Fungi; Ascomycota; Leotiomycetes; Helotiales; Dermateaceae. The record is from RNAcentral.
AACGCACAUUGCGCCCUGUGGUAUUCCGCAGGGCAUGCCUGUUCGAGCGUCAUUACAACCACUCAAGCCUGGCUUGGUAUUGGGGUUUGCGGUUCCGCAGCCCCUAAAACUAGUGGCGGUGCCGGUGUGGCUCUACGCGUAGUAAUUCUUCUCGCGAUGGAGUUCCCCUGGAUACUUGCCAGAACCCCCCAAUUUUUACAGGUUGACCUCGGAUCAGGUAGGGAUACCCGCUGAACUUAA